This is a long non-coding RNA of Erinaceus europaeus (western European hedgehog), 819 nucleotides long. RefSeq lists it as uncharacterized. Lineage: Eukaryota; Metazoa; Chordata; Mammalia; Eulipotyphla; Erinaceidae. The transcript has 6 exons. The record is from RefSeq and is a predicted model, not a curated record.
GCGGAGCCUGCGGUGGGUCCCGGUUGUACCCGGCGUUCAGGGACGAGCUGGAAGCCGCCGCCACGCCGGUCACCGGCCCGAGACUUCUCCUUGGAGGCGCCGGAGACGGCAGGAUGGCCCUUGUGCCAUGAUAGUUUGAACAUGUGAGAAAAAGUUGUGCUCUCUAGAGGCUGCUGGGGCUGAUGUUACCAUCGACCUUCAACAGGAAGUUCUCAUUGACCCCUGGAAAAGAGUGAUUGUAGCCUCUGCACAUUGAACUCCCUACACCUCCUUGAAAAGAACAGAGAGGAGCCUACCCCCACGUUAACGUCCAAAAUGAUGGAGAUUGUGGAGCAAGCACUGAAGUCUCCUUAGGGUGGAUGACAGAGAGACUGGAACAGUUCACCCCUGCCACUCAGAGGACUUAUCCACGCUUUAAGAAGGUCCAGACCCAGCUGGGAAGGAGCCAGCUCUCUCCAGAUGUUAAGCUGGAGCUGGUGGUGCACCUGGUCAGUGCACACAGGACCCUGCACAAGGACCCACGCUCGAGCCCCUGAUGUUCACCUGCAGGGAGGACGCUUCAGGAGUGAUGAGAAAGGUACCAUUUGAGAAAAAUAAUAUAUGAAUUUCAAAGAAGGUGAUGGAGAAGAAAGAUAAUGGGAGAGAGACCUUUUACUGUCAGGAUCAGCCCUGUUCAUGGACAGCAUGUCUUAUGCUUAUGCAGCAAAGGGUUAUCGCUGUGGCUUUGUGCCUGCAUAACUCCACCAGUCCUAGCCACCCUCCUCUGUUUUGAUUGAGAGUGAGACACAGAAAGAGAAACAGCUGCUUCACUGCUUGGAA